This 435-nucleotide long non-coding RNA is filed under the name Rattus norvegicus (Norway rat). RNAcentral describes it as "long non-coding RNA NONRATT023302". The record is from RNAcentral. Lineage: Eukaryota; Metazoa; Chordata; Mammalia; Rodentia; Muridae.
GGAAUGGCGGGAAAGGGGUUAGAAAAAACCAAAGGCAUGGCCUAGCAGAAGAGACUUCUGAGCACGCAGAGUCAUGUCCAAAGAGUCUGUCCACCAAGACAAGAGUCUGUCCUAUACCCCCAAAUUAAUACAGCUUCAGCAAGCCCAUUUUACAGAGAAGGUCAUCAAGGCCCAAAGUGAGGGAAUGUUUCCCCAGUGCUCCUCUCUGACCAUGGGCUCAAGAAGGGAGACAGUCCAGGGCUGGAGAGAUGGCUCAGAGGUUAAGAGCACUGACUGCUCUCCCAGAGGUCCUGAGUUCAAAUCCGAGCAACCACGUGGUGGCUCACAACCAACCAUCUGUAAUGGGAUCUGAUGCCCUCUUCUGGUGUGUCUGAAGACAGCUACAGUGUACUUAUAGAUAAUAAAUAAAUAUUUAAAUAUUAAAAAAAAAGAAGG